AUUGAACGCUGGCGGCAGGCUUAACACAUGCAAGUCGAGCGGAGAUGAGGUGCUUGCACCUUAUCUUAGCGGCGGACGGGUGAGUAAUGUUUAGGAAUCUGCCUAUUAGUGGGGGACAACAUUCCGAAAGGAAUGCUAAUACCGCAUACGUCCUACGGGAGAAAGCAUGGGCUCUUCGGACCUUGCGCUAAUGGAUGAGCCUAGGUCGGAUUAGCUAGUUGGUGGGGUAAAGGCCUACCAAGGCGACGAUCUGUAGCGGGUCUGAGAGGGUGAUACGCCACACUGGGACUGAGACACGGCCCAGACUCCUACGGGAGGCAGCAGUGGGGAAUAUUGGACAAUGGGGGAAACCCUGAUCCAGCCAUGCCGCGUGUGUGAAGAAGGCCUUAUGGUUGUAAAGCACUUUAAGCGAGGAGGAGGCUACUGAGACUAAUACUCUUGGAUAGUGGACGUUACUCGCAGAAUAAGCACCGGCUAACUCUGUGCCAGCCGCCGCGGUAA
This 501-nucleotide ribosomal RNA is filed under the name uncultured bacterium. Its description in RNAcentral is "partial 16S ribosomal RNA". It matches the Rfam family "Bacterial small subunit ribosomal RNA", at positions 30 to 523 of the family's 1533-position model. The record is from RNAcentral.